UUGACCUCGGAUGCAGG
RNAcentral lists this ribosomal RNA (17 nucleotides) under Microascus croci. RNAcentral's name for it is "partial 28S ribosomal RNA". Lineage: Eukaryota; Fungi; Ascomycota; Sordariomycetes; Microascales; Microascaceae. The record is from RNAcentral.